Molecule: ribosomal RNA, 253 nt
Filed under: uncultured bacterium
Lineage: Bacteria
Description: partial 16S ribosomal RNA
Rfam family: Bacterial small subunit ribosomal RNA
Source: RNAcentral
UACGUAGGGUGCGAGCGUUAAUCGGAAUUACUGGGCGUAAAGCGUGCGCAGGCGGUUUUGUAAGACAGGUGUGAAAUCCCCGGGCUUAACCUGGGAACUGCACUUGUGACUGCAAGGCUGGAGUACGGCAGAGGGGGAUGGAAUUCCGCGUGUAGCAGUGAAAUGCGUAGAUAUGCGGAGGAACACCGAUGGCGAAGGCAAUCCCCUGGGCCUGUACUGACGCUCAUGCACGAAAGCGUGGGGAGCAAACAGG